RNAcentral lists this non-coding RNA (26 nucleotides) under Mus musculus (house mouse). Lineage: Eukaryota; Metazoa; Chordata; Mammalia; Rodentia; Muridae. The record is from RNAcentral.
UAAGAAACAUGUUUUUGUUAUAUGGG